Molecule: ribosomal RNA, 550 nt
Filed under: fungal endophyte
Lineage: Eukaryota; Fungi
Description: eukaryotic LSU rRNA
Rfam family: 5.8S ribosomal RNA (bases 187-340)
Source: RNAcentral
CGGAGGGAUCAUUACUGAGUUUACGCUCUAUAACCCUUUGUGAACAUACCUAUAACUGUUGCUUCGGCGGGUAGGGUCUCCGCGACCCUCCCGGCCUCCCGCCUCCGGGCGGGUCGGCGCCCGCCGGAGGAUAACCAAACUCUGAUUUAACGACGUUUCUUCUGAGUGGUACAAGCAAAUAAUCAAAACUUUUAACAACGGAUCUCUUGGUUCUGGCAUCGAUGAAGAACGCAGCGAAAUGCGAUAAGUAAUGUGAAUUGCAGAAUUCAGUGAAUCAUCGAAUCUUUGAACGCACAUUGCGCCCGCCAGCAUUCUGGCGGGCAUGCCUGUUCGAGCGUCAUUUCAACCCUCAAGCUCUGCUUGGUGUUGGGGCCCUACAGCUGAUGUAGGCCCUCAAAGGUAGUGGCGGACCCUCCCGGAGCCUCCUUUGCGUAGUAACUUUACGUCUCGCACUGGGAUCCGGAGGGACUCUUGCCGUAAAACCCCCCAAUUUUCCAAAGGUUGACCUCGGAUCAGGUAGGAAUACCCGCUGAACUUAAGCAUAUCAAUA